AACAUUUUAUAAGUUGGGCCGAGCUUGAUGGAAGGGGGAAAACAAGCCUAAAGUAGGGCCUAAAUGGAUGGCUUACCUCACUAACUUGUGCUAUUUCUAUGACAAUAGAGGUCAGAGGAGGAGCAAGGAAAUCGAUAAUAAAAACAGAAUUAGAUUGAAUUUCCCCCAUCAAAGGAUAUUCAUCUCAAAACUAUUACACAUAGAUAAUGGGUAAACAAAAGCAGAAACAGAAAGAAACUAAAAUAAGAUUAAAAAAAUCAAGGUCCAGUCAUGUGUUGAGUAUAGAUGUAGUCUGUAUGUUCAGCCAUAAACCUCCUAAUCAAGCACUCUUCUUCACUUUCUAAUCCAGAACAAUAUCCAUCAUCACUGAUGCCUGAUUCCUCAGGAGAUGAAGCGGGGUGGGUGUUGGCUGAUAUGGGUCUGCUGGCUUCUGCAGUUGAGAGUAAAAGAAAUACCAAUAUGAAGAAAGAGAUGCUCUUUCCCAUUUUUCUUGAAGCUAAGGACUUGAGAAUAUAGACAAAGUUGUGGGAGAAGAGGCUUAUAUUGUUCUAGGCAUUGAGAAGUGAGACUGUCUUUGGCAUUGGGAUGGAGAAAGGAUCAAUGAAUGAGCAUUGAAAUCAAGUACCCAAAAGUCAAAGCAAAGGCCAGUACUAACUUGGGGCCUGGGGGUCAAUAGGGCAAGA
This 683-nucleotide unclassified non-coding RNA is filed under the name Hevea brasiliensis (rubber tree). Lineage: Eukaryota; Viridiplantae; Streptophyta; Magnoliopsida; Malpighiales; Euphorbiaceae. The record is from RNAcentral.